RNAcentral lists this long non-coding RNA (2845 nucleotides) under Anolis carolinensis (green anole). RNAcentral describes it as "lncRNA (ENSACAG00000029855.2)". Lineage: Eukaryota; Metazoa; Chordata; Lepidosauria; Squamata; Anolidae. The record is from RNAcentral.
UAAAGAGUUGUGAAGAUAUCUCUAGGCCCUCCAGAGCAGAUAUAUACACGCAAACAGAAGUUGAGUAUCCCUUAACCAGAAUUCCAAAAAACCAAAAUACUCCAAAAUCCAAAUUGCUAGAAGUGUAUCAAGUAGCAGAAAUCCAUUAUAUUUUUAUUUCAAAUUUUGGAUCCCCCCCCCCCCCCAAAUUUAAUUUUUGGUAAGAUUCUGGAAGAUUUGGAGGGAGGGCGUUUUGAUUCGUAAUUUGAAAUCCGAAGUUCCGUUUUCAUUUCGGUAAGAUUAGCACCAAUGGGAAAAAUUGCAAUUGCUUGUAUUCUUGUCAUUUUUAUGGCUAUUGGGAUGAAACUUGACACACUUGUAGGCCAGGUUUAUGACUGUUAGCCUGCCAAGUUUCAGAACAUUUUCCACUGAUGUUUAGGAAAAAAUUUUAUUGGUGCUUUCAUGUCAUUGUCGUACACAAAAAUCUGCAUAAAAAGGAAAAUAAACAUACAAACAAACCAAAAGUAGCAAUGUACUGUGAACCACGUGCUGCCUCCGGCGGAACUAACAAAGGUGAGAUAGAAAAGAGAAAGAGCCAGAGAAGAAAUAAAAAUAUAUAUGAAAAAUGUUUAGGAAUGUUUAGGAAUUUUUUAAAGUUUCUAAUAUAAAAUGUAUUUUAUUUCAAUUUCUCCCCAGGGACAGAAGACGAGUAGGUCUUCAGAAGAGGAGGAGGAGCAGGACAGUGUUCAUGAAUCUGAGGUGACUGAAGGAGUAGCCCAUUGUUUCUUUGAGUGGAAAGUAAGAAGGUUGCAUCCUUGGGGAAGUGUCUAUGUGAAGAGCAAAGAAAUGCAGAAACGUAUUGGCACCCCCGACAGUGGAGUCAGCGCACUGCUAUCUGAAAAGACAUUUGAGAGCACGAGAAUGAUUUUGCAUUUGAGCUGACCUUCAAUUUCCAUCUCAAGCAUGACAAAAAAAAAAAAUAGUGUGGGUUUCCUUUUGUGUUGGUUAUUCUCUUCUUCUUUUCUCUUUGCAAGUUGUGUUCCUCUCUUUUAUUUAUCCCUUUUGGAAAACCUCCUCUGAAUAUCGAGUGCCUCCAUCAGUUGGCCUCUUUCUUAAUCCGUCAACUUUCUGCAUGACCUCUCCGACUGUCUGGAGGAGCAAUCUGUUCCUGUUCCAGGCUGUUUCCUACCUCGCUGAUAGCCUGCUUACUCUCCUUCAGGGCUGCCAAGGACCAAGGUCUCUCCGUGUGACACAUGGCUACUGUGUCAGUCACAGAGUCACAGACUGAAACCAAUACCUAUGGCCCUGCUGCUCCUAGUCCUUUAAAAGACCUCUGGGCUGUAACAUUCGGUCUCUCCCACAGUUGCCAUUGCACGAUGGGGCAUCCGUUGAGCCAGAGCAAGUGGCUGGGAAGAAAUAAGAGGACAACGUGGUGCAGGAGAGCCCAGAAAAGCUAUGAGGGAAUUUAUGUCAGGGUAUUGUGUAUUGUGAAAUGUUAAAAUCAAUCUGGGUUAUUAGAAAUGCCUUAUGUGUUAGUUUUUCGGCACGGCAUUUCAGCAGUUAUGGAGUUCAUGAGAGUCUACUAUGAUUGAUGUAUCACAGGACCAAUGGGGUCAAGUUUGUUUUGACCGGGACUUUCUUUCUUGUUCCUGUGGAAUGCAGAGGAGUUUCCUGAGCAGAAGAGCAGUGUGCUGUGUGUGCAUGAGUCGCUUCAGCGAGCACUCAUGGAGAGAAGGACUGAUUUGCUCUGUUUGUAUAUAGAAAUGUAAAUAAAAGUUUAUUGCCAUUGGAUUUCCAACCGAACCCUCAUCUGCUGGAGUGUGUUUGUCCAGUGCUGUUUUUCACACCGGGAGACAGUCUGGAGAGAAGGAGGUGAAGACCGGGAUGGUGAAUUUUUGGAUUUCACUCUGCUACACAUCAUUUCCCCUGACAAUUUAUUUAUUUAUUUAUUACAAUACUUAUAUCUUGCCCUUCUCACCCACAGGGGACUCAGGGUGGCUUACAAUAAAACACAAUAUAAAAAUAUUACAGACAAUUCAAUCAAUUAAAAUUAAAUACAUUAAAUUUAAUUUAAUGGGGCGCAGGCUGUUGAGCAGCUGCAAUAAAUCACUCUGACCAUGAGGUCAUGAGUUCGAGGCCAGCCCGUGGCGGGGUGAGCACCCGUCAAUUAAAAAUAAAAAAUAGCCCCUGCUCGUUGCUGACCUAGCAACCCGAAAGAUAGUUGCAUCUAUCAAGUAGGAAAUAAGGUACCACUUAUAAAAGUGGGGAGGUGAGUUUAACUAAUUUACGACCUGGAAUGAGGAAGUGCCGUCAGAGUGGAUGAUGAAGCAGCUGCUCCCCCCUGUGGCCAGAAUCGAACAUCCCCUCAGGAGAAGGUUAAAUUGCCUCUGCGUCUGUCUCUGUCUCGGUCUCUGUUUGAUGUGUUUAUGGGCAUUGAAUGUUUGCCCUAUGUGUGUAUAAUGUGAUCCACCCUGAGUCCCCUUCGGGGUGAAAAGGGCGGAAUAUAAAUACUGUAAAUAAAUAAAUUGAACAUUGAUAAAAAUACACAUAUAAAUACACAAUUGGUGCAUUUCGAGUCUGAUAACUGGUCUGUCAUUGAAUUCUAGGAUGGUAAUAAUUGAUGCUGCUGUUGUUGAUCGAAGGCCUGGUCCCACAACCAGAACAGAAUAAAUUCUCAACCCCUUACAAGUGUUAACCAGCAUUCAGAAAGCAUGAAAUAGUAAAACAAAAAGAUAUUUCAUCUAAAUCAACAGUGGAUUAUAUGUUCUCAAUAGACAUAAACAUAAGAACUGCAACAAUGACUGCUAUAAUGGGUUUUAAAUGGGUUUUAAAACGUAGAGAAUGUGAUUCAGAUCACCGAAAUAUC